Molecule: long non-coding RNA, 1107 nt
Filed under: Canis lupus familiaris (dog)
Lineage: Eukaryota; Metazoa; Chordata; Mammalia; Carnivora; Canidae
Description: lncRNA (ENSCAFG00000051493.1)
Source: RNAcentral
AUGGGGGGGGGGCUGUGGGGGGGGGGAGGACGGAAGGAAGAAAGGAAAGGCAUCAAGCACAGUAGGUCUCAAGAGGGGAAGGAGAGCCAGCCCUUGAAAAACACUUCACAACUGUUCAUUGUUCGUUCUCCUCUGACCCGACGUCCCCUCACUCUGCACUCGCUCACCCACUUCAUUUUUAAGUCUUAUCAGCCUCCUGCCUUGCCCUCCAGGGGAAAGCAGAAUUCACAGAUGAAAACAGAGUGCCAGACUCCCCGGAAAGCUUUUCAAUGUCCUUUGCCCAGGAGAGGUUCUCAUUACAAUGGGGCCUGGACCUCAGCCAUGAGCCUAGGGAGGGGAGAAGCGAUUUCAUUCCACUUAACCCAAUUUGCUGGGCCCAGAAGGCAGCUAAUGAGCAGCCUGCACCCUCGGAGUCAUCGAUACCACUUUCCAAAUCAAGUUACCAAAUUGGUCUUAAAACUGCUUCAAAGGGGCCAGGCUGACUGUUCCCAACGAGGCAUCCUGCUGGCCAUAUGGCCACGGUUCCUGCCGGGGGCAUCCUGGCUCAGCACCGGUGGCAGGGGGGAGCUAGCUAGCUGGCGCCUUUGUCUGUGUUUCGGGGCGCCCCAUCCCCUCCCUCCAAAGCCUGAUCCCCUGGGGUGGAACCCAGGGUACCACAGAAAAACAGGACACAGUUGUGGCAGAGAGAUCCAAACUCAAGGAGGACCCAAAGGCAGAGGAGAAAGAAGAAAUCCCCACACUCGACUGCACCCAGCUCCCUGGGAAGGUUCCCAAACAAGCCGCCCUGAGCUGGUGCCGGGCCCAGCCCGGUGUGCUGCAGAGCACCGGACAACAGCACCUCGGAGGUCAUCCCCACACAAGGACAGUGGUGGGCAGAUGCUAUCUGUGAUCUCGCUGAAGCCUCACAGUGCCCUGGGAGGUCAGGAGUCUUAUUGCCCCCCCCCACCCCCCACCCAUUUCACGGACGAAGAAACUGAGAUUACGGAAUCGGUGCAGGGUCACGCGGCCAGCACGUGGCUGCAGCAGCAACCCAACCCGCAGCGGCCUCUUCAAACGCAGUCCGUGUUCAGCCCCUCAGUCACACCGGCUUCGGAGUGGAGAUCUUGA